UUAAGUGACUAAGCGUACACGGUGGAUGCCUGGGCAGUCAGAGGCGAUGAAGGACGUACUAACUUGCGAUAAGCGCAGAUAAGGCAGUAAGAGCCGUUUGAGUCUGCGAUUUCCGAAUGGGGAAACCCAACUGCAUAAGCAGUUACUGUUAACUGAAUACAUAGGUUAACAGAGCAAACCGGGGGAACUGAAACAUCUAAGUACCCCGAGGAGAAGAAAUCAACCGAGAUUCCGGUAGUAGCGGCGAGCGAACCUGGAUUAGCCCUUAAGCACUCGGUGAAGUAGGUGAACAAGCUGGAAAGCUUGGCGAUACAGGGUGAUAGCCCCGUAACCGACGCUUCAUCGAGCGUGAAAUCGAGUAGGGCGGGACACGUGAUAUCCUGUCUGAAUAUGGGGGGACCAUCCUCCAAGGCUAAAUACUCCUGACUGACCGAUAGUGAACCAGUACCGUGAGGGAAAGGCGAAAAGAACCCCUGUGAGGGGAGUGAAAUAGAACCUGAAACCGUGUACGUACAAGCAGUAGGAGCACCUUCGUGGUGUGACUGCGUACCUUUUGUAUAAUGGGUCAGCGACUUAUAUUCAGUGGCAAGGUUAACCGUAUAGGGGAGCCGUAGCGAAAGCGAGUCUUAACUGGGCGCUCAGUCUCUGGAUAUAGACCCGAAACCGGGUGAUCUAGCCAUGGGCAGGUUGAAGGUUGAGUAACAUCAACUGGAGGACCGAACCGACUAAUGUUGAAAAAUUAGCGGAUGACUUGUGGCUAGGGGUGAAAGGCCAAUCAAACUCGGAGAUAGCUGGUUCUCCCCGAAAGCUAUUUAGGUAGCGCCUCGGACGAAUACUACUGGGGGUAGAGCACUGUUAAGGCUAGGGGGUCAUCCCGACUUACCAACCCUUUGCAAACUCCGAAUACCAGUAAGUACUAUCCGGGAGACACACGGCGGGUGCUAACGUCCGUCGUGGAGAGGGAAACAACCCAGACCGCCAGCUAAGGUCCCAAAGUAUUGCUAAGUGGGAAACGAUGUGGGAAGGCUCAGACAGCUAGGAUGUUGGCUUAGAAGCAGCCAUCAUUUAAAGAAAGCGUAAUAGCUCACUAGUCGAGUCGGCCUGCGCGGAAGAUGUAACGGGGCUAAGCAAUACACCGAAGCUGCGGCAAUAUCUUUUAGAUAUUGGGUAGGGGAGCGUUCUGUAAGCCGUUGAAGGUGAAUCGUAAGGUUUGCUGGAGGUAUCAGAAGUGCGAAUGCUGACAUGAGUAACGACAAAGGGGGUGAAAAACCUCCUCGCCGGAAGACCAAGGGUUCCUGUCCAACGUUAAUCGGGGCAGGGUGAGUCGACCCCUAAGGUGAGGCCGAAAGGCGUAAUCGAUGGGAAACGGGUUAAUAUUCCCGUACUUCUGACUAUUGCGAUGGGGGGACGGAGAAGGCUAGGUGGGCCAGGCGACGGUUGUCCUGGUUCAAGUGCGUAGGCUUGAGAGUUAGGUAAAUCCGGCUCUCUCUAAGGCUGAGACACGACGUCGAGCUGCUACGGCAGUGAAGUCAUUGAUGCCAUGCUUCCAGGAAAAGCCUCUAAGCUUCAGAUAGUCAGGAAUCGUACCCCAAACCGACACAGGUGGUCGGGUAGAGAAUACCAAGGCGCUUGAGAGAACUCGGGUGAAGGAACUAGGCAAAAUGGUACCGUAACUUCGGGAGAAGGUACGCUCUUGAUGGUGAAGUCCCUCGCGGAUGGAGCUGACGAGAGUCGCAGAUACCAGGUGGCUGCAACUGUUUAUUAAAAACACAGCACUGUGCAAAAUCGCAAGAUGACGUAUACGGUGUGACGCCUGCCCGGUGCCGGAAGGUUAAUUGAUGGGGUUAGCGCAAGCGAAGCUCUUGAUCGAAGCCCCGGUAAACGGCGGCCGUAACUAUAACGGUCCUAAGGUAGCGAAAUUCCUUGUCGGGUAAGUUCCGACCUGCACGAAUGGCGUAAUGAUGGCCACGCUGUCUCCACCCGAGACUCAGUGAAAUUGAAAUCGCUGUGAAGAUGCAGUGUACCCGCGGCUAGACGGAAAGACCCCGUGAACCUUUACUACAGCUUGGCACUGAACAUUGAACCUACAUGUGUAGGAUAGGUGGGAGGCUAUGAAGACGUGACGCCAGUUGCGUUGGAGCCGUCCUUGAAAUACCACCCUUGUAUGUUUGAUGUUCUAACUUAGACCCAUUAUCUGGGUUGAGGACAGUGCCUGGUGGGUAGUUUGACUGGGGCGGUCUCCUCCCAAAGAGUAACGGAGGAGCACGAAGGUGGGCUAAUCACGGUUGGACAUCGUGAGGUUAGUGCAAUGGCAUAAGCCCGCUUAACUGCGAGAAUGACGGUUCGAGCAGGUGCGAAAGCAGGUCAUAGUGAUCCGGUGGUUCUGUAUGGAAGGGCCAUCGCUCAACGGAUAAAAGGUACUCCGGGGAUAACAGGCUGAUACCGCCCAAGAGUUCAUAUCGACGGCGGUGUUUGGCACCUCGAUGUCGGCUCAUCACAUCCUGGGGCUGAAGUCGGUCCCAAGGGUAUGGCUGUUCGCCAUUUAAAGUGGUACGCGAGCUGGGUUUAGAACGUCGUGAGACAGUUCGGUCCCUAUCUGCCGUGGGCGUUGGAAGAUUGAAGGGGGCUGCUCCUAGUACGAGAGGACCGGAGUGGACGAACCUCUGGUGUUCGGGUUGUGUCGCCAGACGCAUUGCCCGGUAGCUAAGUUCGGAAUUGAUAAGCGCUGAAAGCAUCUAAGCGCGAAGCGAGCCCUGAGAUGAGUCUUCCCUGA
RNAcentral lists this ribosomal RNA (2773 nucleotides) under Vibrio cholerae. RNAcentral describes it as "23S ribosomal RNA". It matches the Rfam family "Bacterial large subunit ribosomal RNA". The record is from RNAcentral. RNAcentral also lists the same sequence under 1 other name. Lineage: Bacteria; Pseudomonadati; Pseudomonadota; Gammaproteobacteria; Vibrionales; Vibrionaceae.